UUCCUGACCUGGCGGGAUCCCAGGCUUUGGGACAGGGCAGGUGACCUUUUCAAGGUGGCAUUUCCAGCCUUCCCUGUCCCCUGGAAUUCAGGCCAGGCCUGCCAACAACAACCAGGUCAGUAGGAAAGUCUCCAGUUUCAGAGAAGAUAUUCAGACGCUUGCCGCAGAAAGAGAACACAUCUUUCCCCGUUGCUUCGUUGACUUCAUUCCAUCCUCGCAGAAACCGUAUGAGGCACGUGCCAGUUUCCUCAUCUCUGAAAUGUGGAUGACGAGGCCCAGCGAAGAACUGCCCCCGAGACACAUCUGUGCUGAAGGCCUGGGACCAGCAUUUCUCUGAGGGACUGUCCAAAGGAGAGCAGAGAACACUGUCUUGGAUGGGUCCAUCUUGGAGACUCUGCAGCAUAUUAGCACCAUAAGGGCUCUGAGAAGACCUUCAGUAGUGGAAAAUUUCUCCAGCCUGUAAGCUCGCAGACCUCCUUUGGGCAGAGCACAUGUCAGCAUCCUGUGGAACAGUCUACGGCAUUCUCUGGGUGGUUGCCAGGCCAGGAGGACCCAGACAGGUUGAGUGCCGGGUACCAAACCCGUAGCCACCGGCUCCCCAGGUCAGCAGCAGGUCAUCUUCGCCCUUGACCUCAGUCCACCUUGAGGGACGAUCUUUGAGGCUGGAGUUAUAGUCAUCAACUCCCAUUCCUCCAGCUGUUCUUUGGUUCCCAGGUGCCUGAAAGUCCCUAAAAGUGCUGCUUGAGCCAAAAUUCAGAGGACGUGCUAAACCAGGUUAAUGUUAGGGCCCAUGGCAAUGAGCAGGAGUCCUCCCUACUGGGUUGGUUGGAUAAAUGAGUUAAUUUUGUUCAAGCUCCAAGGGUCUUGGGGACUUCGGUGCUGAGGGUGUACAGAUGUGUUGCAGGGAGGGGACCCAGCAUGGAAUGAGCUUUAGGGUCUGCGGGGACCCAAGGAAAGAGAGCUGCAUACUCAACACUGCAAUUAAUGGAGCUAAUAAGGGUCCGAGGGUCAGUGCCAGCCAGGGUGCUUGGCAGGUGGGGCGGACAUCCCUUGGAAAACUCUACAUCGGCAUCUUUGUGAGUUGGAGUGGAGGGCGUUUGGGGGGGGGGGUGCCCCAUGGCAAGGCUGGGCAGGGCAGUCCAGGGCAGCAGAGCAGGGAGAGGUGUCCUUCUGAGUGGCCCAAGCACAGGCAGGGACAAGAGCAGGGGUCUUGAAGCAGCCAGCAUUGGGUGUGAACCUCCGCUGAGCCCUGAAUGAGCUGUGUGUCAUUGGGCAGCUUCCCUUGCCUCUCUGAGCCUCAGUUACCUCAUAUGCAAAUGGACACAACAGUGACCGCCCCCCAACUCAGAGUAAUGAAUGGGUUAACUUGGGUUAAGUGCCUAGAAAUAUCUAGCACGUAAAAUGUACUCCAUGAAUGCUACUUCUCUCCUCUCCUUUUAGAAAAGCUCAGAGACUGGCAGAAGUUUUUUUCUUUUUUUUUUUUUUAACUUUUAAUUGAACUGUAACAUACACACAGAAAAGUGCAUAACUCUUUUGUUUGCUUUUUAAUUUAAAAUUUAUUUCAACUCCUC
Balaenoptera ricei (Rice's whale) is the source of this 1571-nucleotide long non-coding RNA. RefSeq lists it as uncharacterized. The transcript has 3 exons. NCBI's taxonomy places the organism in Eukaryota, Metazoa, Chordata, Mammalia, Artiodactyla, Balaenopteridae. The record is from RefSeq and is a predicted model, not a curated record.